UCCCUGGUAGCUCAGAUGGUAAAGCAUCUGCCUGCAAUGUGGGAGACUCAGGUUCAAUCCCUGGGUUGGGAA
Molecule: transfer RNA, 72 nt
Filed under: Bos taurus (domestic cattle)
Lineage: Eukaryota; Metazoa; Chordata; Mammalia; Artiodactyla; Bovidae
Also listed under: 1 other name
Rfam family: tRNA
About the family: Transfer RNA (tRNA) molecules are approximately 80 nucleotides in length.
Source: Rfam by way of RNAcentral